This 490-nucleotide ribosomal RNA is filed under the name uncultured bacterium. RNAcentral's name for it is "partial 16S ribosomal RNA". It matches the Rfam family "Bacterial small subunit ribosomal RNA", at positions 30 to 507 of the family's 1533-position model. The record is from RNAcentral.
AUUGAACGCUGGCGGCAGGCCUAACACAUGCAAGUCGAACGGUAACAGGAAGAAGCUUGCUUCUUUGCUGAUGAGUGGCGGACGGGUGAGUAAUGUCUGGGAAACUGCCUGAUGGAGGGGGAUAACUACUGGAAACGGUAGCUAAUACCGCAUAACGUUGCAAGACCAAAAAGGGGGACCUUCGGGCCUCUUGCCAUCGGAUGUGCCCAGAUGGGAUUAGCUAGUAGGUGGGGUAACGGCUCACCUAGGCGACGAUCCCUAGCUGGUCUGAGAGGAUGACCAGCCACACUGGAACUGAGACACGGUCCAGACUCCUACGGGAGGCAGCAGUGGGGAAUAUUGCACAAUGGGCGCAAGCCUGAUGCAGCCAUGCCGCGUGUAUGAAGAAGGCCUUCGGGUUGUAAAGUACUUUCAGCGGGGAGGAAGGGAGUAAAGUUAAUACCUUUGCUCAUUGACGUUACCCGCAGAAGAAGCACCGGCCAACUCCGUG